CCUACGGGUCGCAGCAGUGAGGAAUAUUGGUCAAUGGACGAGAGUCUGAACCAGCCAAGUAGCGUGAAGGAUGACUGCCCUAUGGGUUGUAAACUUCUUUUAUAUGGGACUAAAAUGUUCCACGUGUGGGCUUUUGUAUGUACCAUAUGAAUAAGGAUCGGCUAACUCCGUGCCAGCAGCCGCGGUAAUACGGAGGAUCCGAGCGUUAUCCGGAUUUAUUGGGUUUAAAGGGAGCGUAGGUGGAUUGUUAAGUCAGUUGUGAAAGUUUGCGGCUCAACCGUAAAAUUGCAGUUGAAACUGGCAGUCUUGAGUACAGUAGAGGUGGGCGGAAUUCGUGGUGUAGCGGUGAAAUGCUUAGAUAUCACGAAGAACUCCGAUUGCGAAGGCAGCUCACUGGACUGCAACUGACACUGAGGCUCGAAAGUGUGGGUAUCAAACAGGAUUAGAUACCCCAGUAGUC
This 460-nucleotide ribosomal RNA is filed under the name uncultured bacterium. RNAcentral's name for it is "partial 16S ribosomal RNA". It matches the Rfam family "Bacterial small subunit ribosomal RNA", at positions 338 to 795 of the family's 1533-position model. The record is from RNAcentral.